CACGAAUGAGUUGAGCAAUCCUGAUUCGGAGGCCUAUAAGGCAUUAGCUGCACUGGUUAUGAACAUGAUGUUGAAUGCCUACCAGAACAAUCCAUAUAUUGGAAAAAUUUCAAUUCAGGGUUUCAAGGCAGGAAGUGUUAUUGUAGCGACAAAAGUGGAACUUGCGGAUGGUGUUACGGCGGAGGCUGCGAACGGCAUCAGUAGCGAAAGUAUUGCUGCCACCUUGGUUGACUUUGUUAAAGAUGACCCAUCUGCCGCCAAUCUUGGUGUUGAUGCAGG
Lineus longissimus is the source of this 279-nucleotide long non-coding RNA. RefSeq lists it as uncharacterized. NCBI's taxonomy places the organism in Eukaryota, Metazoa, Nemertea, Pilidiophora, Heteronemertea, Lineidae. The transcript is spliced from 3 exons. The record is from RefSeq and is a predicted model, not a curated record.